RNAcentral lists this ribosomal RNA (451 nucleotides) under uncultured bacterium. RNAcentral describes it as "partial 16S ribosomal RNA". It matches the Rfam family "Bacterial small subunit ribosomal RNA", at positions 354 to 796 of the family's 1533-position model. The record is from RNAcentral.
GUGGGGAAUAUUGCGCAAUGGGGGAAACCCUGACGCAGCGACGCCGUGUGAGGGAAGAAGGCUUUCGGGUCGUAAACCUCUGUCAGAAAGGAAGAACCUCCCAAGUCCGAAUAGGGCUUGGGACUGACGGUACUUUCAAAGGAAGCACCGGCUAACUCCGUGCCAGCAGCCGCGGUAAUACGGAGGGUGCAAGCGUUAAUCGGAAUCACUGGGCGUAAAGCGCGCGUAGGCCGCUUUGUAAGUCGGACGUGAAAGCCCUCGGCUCAACCGGGGAACUGCGUUCGAUACUGCGAGGCUUGAGUCCUGGAGAGGGUGGCGGAAUUCCUGGUGUAGGAGUGAAAUCCGUAGAUAUCAGGAGGAACACCGGUGGCGAAGGCGGCCACCUGGACGGGUACUGACGCUGAGGCACGAAAGCGUGGGGAGCAAACAGGAUUAGAAACCCCGGUAGUCC